Molecule: ribosomal RNA, 372 nt
Filed under: Scheffersomyces ergatensis
Lineage: Eukaryota; Fungi; Ascomycota; Pichiomycetes; Serinales; Debaryomycetaceae
Description: eukaryotic LSU rRNA
Rfam family: Eukaryotic large subunit ribosomal RNA
Source: RNAcentral
GGCGCCUUCGGUGUCCGAGUUGUAAUUUGAAGAAGGUAACUUUGGUUUUGGCUCUUGUCUAUGUUCCUUGGAACAGGACGUCACAGAGGGUGAGAAUCCCGUGCGAUGAGAUGCCCAAUUCCAUGUAAAGUGCUUUCGAAGAGUCGAGUUGUUUGGGAAUGCAGCUCUAAGUGGGUGGUAAAUUCCAUCUAAAGCUAAAUAUUGGCGAGAGACCGAUAGCGAACAAGUACAGUGAUGGAAAGAUGAAAAGAACUUUGAAAAGAGAGUGAAAAAGUACGUGAAAUUGUUGAAAGGGAAGGGCUUGAGAUCAGACUUGGUAUUUUGUAUGUCUUGCUUUCGGGUAGGGCCUCUGCAGUUUAUCGGGCCAGCAUC